AGAGCGAACGCUGGCGGCAGGCCUAACACAUGCAAGUCGAGCGCCGUAGCAAUACGGAGCGGCAGACGGGAGAGUAACACGUGGGAACGUACCCUUCAGUUCGGAACAACCCAGGGAAACUUGGGCUAAUACCGAAUACGUCCGUAAGGAGAAAGAUUUAUCGCUGAAGGAUCGGCCCGCGUCUGAUUAGCUUGUUGGUGAGGUAAUGGCUCACCAAGGCUACGAUCAGUAGCUGGUCUGAGAGGAUGAUCAGCCUCACUGGGACUGAGACACGGCCCAGACUCCUACGGGAGGCAGCAGUGGGGAAUAUUGGACAAUGGGCGCAAGCCUGAUCCAGCCAUGCCGCGUGAGUGAUGAAGGCCCUAGGGUUGUAAAGCUCUUUUGUGCGGGAAGAUAAUGACGGUACCGCAAGAAUAAGCCCCGGCUAACUUCGCGCCAGCAGCCGC
Molecule: ribosomal RNA, 446 nt
Filed under: uncultured bacterium
Lineage: Bacteria
Description: SSU rRNA
Rfam family: Bacterial small subunit ribosomal RNA
Source: RNAcentral